Molecule: small RNA, 99 nt
Filed under: Polaribacter sp. KT25b
Lineage: Bacteria; Pseudomonadati; Bacteroidota; Flavobacteriia; Flavobacteriales; Flavobacteriaceae
Description: Flavo-1 RNA
Rfam family: Flavo-1 RNA
Source: Rfam by way of RNAcentral
GUUUAGCCCUGAUUGAAACGGCAUCCUUUUUUUAUUUGUAAUUUCUGCAUUAGCAGAAUUUACAAAUAAAAAAAGAUAUAGUGUAAAGCAGGAAAUAGC